CCCUCUUCGCUUUUCUGUUUCAGGGGUAUGGCUUCACGCGAGAGCAGAGUUCAAAUGCCUUAAUUAUACACGGGACGGUGCCGAAAGCGCGCGAGGUGCUGUCCAGGUUAAAGCCGCAAAUUUCGCCCCGAGUGCCGGCGGCUUCAGGAACCGCGGUGAAGACCGAACCCCUCGGGAAGGUCCGCAGUGCCUCCAACGUCC
Molecule: long non-coding RNA, 201 nt
Organism: Hippocampus comes (tiger tail seahorse)
Lineage: Eukaryota; Metazoa; Chordata; Actinopteri; Syngnathiformes; Syngnathidae
Exons: 2
Source: RefSeq, a predicted model, not a curated record